Molecule: long non-coding RNA, 1349 nt
Filed under: Triticum aestivum (bread wheat)
Lineage: Eukaryota; Viridiplantae; Streptophyta; Magnoliopsida; Poales; Poaceae
Description: long non-coding RNA (TAES_LNC003788)
Source: RNAcentral
UCCACCAGCAUGCCCUGCUUCCCCUACGCGGAUCAACUCGAGCUCGGAGCAACCACCUCGACCGGAUCGACGCCUUCUUCUUCCUCGGUCGUCGCCGCUGCUCUUCAUCGAUCCGUCGCCUCUGCAGCUCCUAAGCCACCAACGGGCCUCCGUGUGCCUCCGCGGUGAGCUCCUCGUCCGAUUCCCCCUCUUCUCCGGCUCGAUCCGUUAGGUUUGUGGCCGUCCCGUGAGCUUUGUCCACCAUGGCAAAAGUUCAGUGUUCGCGUACGUGCAUGCUGCCGCUCCUCUGAAACUGAUGCGUGUUGCUGAUGCGUUCUACCGUUGCCUGCCGCUGCUCGCGCCGUCACGCUGUGCCCGCGCUCGCUGGCCUCUGGCCACGACCGGUUGCGCCCGGCUGCGCGUACGCGCGUGCCCGCACCCACUGCCGCCCGGCGCCUGCUCACAACCGCCGCGCCCGCAAGCACCCGGCCUCUGCUACUCUGUUGCUGCCGUUGUAAUGCUGCUAGUUACUGUAGCUGAUGCGAGCUAGCUUUUCUAAUUCUACACUGUUUAACCCUCUGAACAGCCCCUAAACAUCGACUAAAUGACUUUUAACAGGAGCAAAAAUAUUAUGGGAAGGUAGUACACUUGACAAGGCUCAAAUGUUUUCAUUGGACCUAAUCCCUUAGAUGCCUGGAUUAAAUCAUACGAAAAUCACAAAGUUCAAUGUUCUGUUAAUAGAAAAGCCGAAAACGGCUUUAAUUUGAUAGCUACUUUAGAGCUGUUGAUGAUCAAGCAAAUGCACUCUAACAGAGAUGCAAGUGCUACUAUCUUGUAGAUCAUAGAAAAAUGCUCAAAAUUGGUAUAAAGCACAAAAAUAGAGGAUGUACAGAACAAUAGUUGUAGCGUUUUGAAAACAGCAAAGUGAUGUUUAAAACUGACGAAAUCUCAGACUUGGUAGAAUUUCAGGGAUUUUUAGGAUAUUGCUUAAAGCUUUGAAAAUCAAUAGAAAAUAAUCCGUAGCUUGAAUGAAAAAGUUUUAUACAUGAAAGUUGCUUAGAACGACGAGACGAAUCCGGAUACGCAACCCCUUCGUCCGCCACACACCCCUAUCAUAUCAAACUCGCAACUUUCCCCCUCCGGCUCCUCUGCCCGAAAACGCGAAACACCGGGGAUACUUUCCCAGAUGUUUUUCCCCCUUCGCCGGUAUCACCUAAUACCGCGUGAGGGCAGACCUAACACCGCCGUUUGCUUUGUCACGCAUCAUCAUGCUUAUGUUGCAUUGUAUUUAUUGUUUCUUCCCCCUCUUCUCUUCGGUAGACUACGAGGCUGAUGCUGCUGCUGGUACCCCGAUCGACUACGGUGUUGAC